UCCUCGUUUAAGCGAGGCAGUCUGUCCAGAGUGCUCCCGACUCUCGUCGGGGUGGCAACAGGACACAAGGGUUGCGCUCGUUGCGGGACUUAACCCAACAUCUCACGACACGAGCUGACGACAGCCAUGCAGCACCUGUGCACGGACUCCGAAGAGGAACCGAUGUUUCCACCGGCUUUCCCGUGCAUGUCAAGCCCAGGUAAGGUUCUUCGCGUCGCGUCGAAUUAAACCACAUGCUCCGCUGCUUGUGCGGGUCCCCGUCAAUUCCUUUGAGUUUUAAUCUUGCGACCGUACUCCCCAGGCGGCGAACUUCACGCGUUAGCUGCGGUACUAAGGAAGUCUCCUUCCCCAACACCUAGUUCGCAUCGUUUAGGGCGUGGACUAC
RNAcentral lists this unclassified non-coding RNA (385 nucleotides) under uncultured bacterium. RNAcentral's name for it is "contains 16S-23S intergenic spacer region". The record is from RNAcentral.